GUAGGGACCAAGCGUUGUUCGGAUUUUACUGGGCGUAAAGGGGCGCGUAGGCGGCGUGGUAAGUCACUUGUGAAAUCUCUGAGCUUAACUCAGAACGGCCAAGUGAUACUGCUGUGCUCGAGUGUGGAAGGGGCAAUCGGAAUUCUUGGUGUAGCGGUGAAAUGCGUAGAUAUCAAGAGGAACACCUGAGGUGAAGACGGGUUGCUGGGCCAACACUGACGCUGAGGCGCGAAAGCCAGGGGAGCAAACGGGAUUAGAUACCCCGGUAGUCCUGGCCCUAAACGCUGAAUACUUGGUGUCUGGAGUUUUAAUGCUCCGGGUGCCGUCGCUAACGUUUUUAGUAUUCCGCCUGGGGAGUACGCUCGCAAGAGUG
RNAcentral lists this ribosomal RNA (373 nucleotides) under uncultured organism. RNAcentral's name for it is "bacterial SSU rRNA". It matches the Rfam family "Bacterial small subunit ribosomal RNA", at positions 527 to 896 of the family's 1533-position model. The record is from RNAcentral.